CCCUUAGACGUUCUGGGCCGCACGCGCGCUACACUGACCAGUGCAACAAGCAUCCGUCCUUGGCCGACAGGCUCGGGCAAUCUUUGAACGCUGGUCGUGAUGGGGAUAGACUUUUGCAAUUUUUGGUCUUCAACGAGGAAUUCCUAGUAAACGCAAGUCAUCAACUUGCAUUGAUUACGUCCCUGCCCUUUGUACACACCGCCCGUCACACCUACCGAUUGAAUGGUCCGGUGAAGCCUCCGGAUUGGCGCGCACCCCGGUGCCGCCGAGAAGUUGGCUAAACCUUACCAUUUAGAGGAAGGUGAAGUCGUAACA
Molecule: ribosomal RNA, 315 nt
Filed under: uncultured eukaryote
Lineage: Eukaryota
Description: partial 18S ribosomal RNA
Rfam family: Eukaryotic small subunit ribosomal RNA
Source: RNAcentral